Molecule: long non-coding RNA, 329 nt
Filed under: Panax ginseng (ginseng)
Lineage: Eukaryota; Viridiplantae; Streptophyta; Magnoliopsida; Apiales; Araliaceae
Description: long non-coding RNA (PGIN_LNC001048)
Source: RNAcentral
GAGCAUCUGAUCCGAAGGUAAGACGCCAUCAGCCAAAUAUUCCAGAUAGGGCGUCAACCAGCAAUUGGUUUGGUCAAUGCACAUUACCAUCUCGUGAAUAACACUAGGAUGUUGCAAAAUUUCCAGAUACACCGACCCCUCAAAAACAUUAACAUCUGUAGUGGCUAGUUUGGCGAGUGCAUCGGCAAUAGAAUUGUUGUUACGCUCGACCCCCCGAAACUCGUACGAUUGGAAAUAUUGAAGCCGUUCCUUUACUUCUGCCAAAUACUUGAUCAUCCUCGGACCUCAGGCUUCGUAUUCUCCAGACAAUUGUUUAACAAUUAAUUGAG